GGAGAGAAAAGAUCAGUGAGAGAAUGAAGCUUCUCCAAAAUCUUGUGCCAGGUUGCAACAAGGUGGCAGGCAAGGCUAUUAUGCUCGAUGAGAUCAUCAACUACGUGCAGUGCUUGCAGUGGCAAGUUGAGGUGAGACCCUUGCUAUAGAUAGCAAUGGAAGAUGCAGUAUACGAUGCCCUUAUCUAUCCAUUCUUAUACAAUGACUACGGUCCUGUUGAGGCAGGGAGAAUGGUGGCAUGCACUGCUGCUUGUUUGUGCCAUGCUGCAGCUCUUCGCCCAAGCAUGAGUCAAGUAUUUUGCUCAAACUCUUUCUUGUUUCUCAUUCCAUUUAUUG
Molecule: long non-coding RNA, 336 nt
Organism: Zingiber officinale
Lineage: Eukaryota; Viridiplantae; Streptophyta; Magnoliopsida; Zingiberales; Zingiberaceae
Exons: 3
Source: RefSeq, a predicted model, not a curated record